GGAUGGGCUCAUACUGGAGCGAAUCUGCCUGGUCUCGUUCCGAAUUGCGAAGCCAAGCUGUCUUGGGCCAGCUUAGUACUAGCAUGGGUGACCAACCAGGAACCGCUGGGUGAUGUAAUUG
This 121-nucleotide ribosomal RNA is filed under the name Polymyxa betae. The record is from RNAcentral. Lineage: Eukaryota; Endomyxa; Phytomyxea; Plasmodiophorida; Plasmodiophoridae.